UACGUAGGGUGCAAGCGUUAAUCGGAAUUACUGGGCGUAAAGCGUACGCAGGCGGCUUUGCAAGACAGGUGUGAAAUCCCCGGGCCUAACCUGGGAACUGCAUUUGUGACUGCAUGGCUAGAGUUUGUCAGAGGGGGGUGGAAUUCCACAUGUAGCAGUGAAAUGCGUAGAUAUGUGGAGGAACACCGAUGGCGAAGGCAGCCCCCUGGGAUGUGACUGACGCUCAUGUACGAAAGCGUGGGGAGCAAACAGG
RNAcentral lists this ribosomal RNA (253 nucleotides) under uncultured bacterium. RNAcentral describes it as "partial 16S ribosomal RNA". It matches the Rfam family "Bacterial small subunit ribosomal RNA", at positions 524 to 776 of the family's 1533-position model. The record is from RNAcentral.